This 425-nucleotide ribosomal RNA is filed under the name uncultured bacterium. Its description in RNAcentral is "bacterial SSU rRNA". It matches the Rfam family "Bacterial small subunit ribosomal RNA", at positions 355 to 773 of the family's 1533-position model. The record is from RNAcentral.
UGGGGAAUCUUGCGCAAUGGGGGCAACCCUGACGCAGCGACGCCGCGUGAGUGAUGAAGGCCUUCGGGUUGUAAAGCUCUGUGGAGGGAGACGAAUAAGCCAUGGCUAAUAUCCAUGGUGAUGAAGGUAUCCCUUUAGCAAGCACCGGCUAACUCUGUGCCAGCAGCCGCGGUAAGACAGAGGGUGCAAACGUUGUUCGGAAUUACUGGGCGUAAAGCGCGUGUAGGCUGCCCUGCAAGUCAGGUGUGAAAGCCCUGGGCUCAACCUAGGAAGUGCACUUGAAACUGCGGGGAUUGAGUGCUGGAGAGGGAAGCGGAAUUCUCGGUGUAGAGGUGAAAUUCGUAGAUAUCGAGAGGAACACCGGUGGCGAAGGCGGCUUCCUGGACAGUAACUGACGCUGAGACGCGAAAGCGUGGGGAGCAAAC